This 484-nucleotide ribosomal RNA is filed under the name Pseudomonas sp. 'ARUP UnID 552'. RNAcentral describes it as "bacterial SSU rRNA". It matches the Rfam family "Bacterial small subunit ribosomal RNA", at positions 27 to 506 of the family's 1533-position model. Lineage: Bacteria; Pseudomonadati; Pseudomonadota; Gammaproteobacteria; Pseudomonadales; Pseudomonadaceae. The record is from RNAcentral.
GAUUGAACGCUGGCGGCAGGCCUAACACAUGCAAGUCGAGCGGCAGCGGGUCCUUCGGGRUGCCGGCGAGCGGCGGACGGGUGAGUAAUGCCUAGGAAUCUGCCUGUUAGUGGGGGAUAACUCGGGGAAACUCGAGCUAAUACCGCAUACGUCCUACGGGAGAAAGUGGGGGAUCUUCGGACCUCACGCUAACAGAUGAGCCUAGGUCGGAUUAGCUAGUUGGUGGGGUAAAGGCUCACCAAGGCGACGAUCCGUAACUGGUCUGAGAGGAUGAUCAGUCACACUGGAACUGAGACACGGUCCAGACUCCUACGGGAGGCAGCAGUGGGGAAUAUUGGACAAUGGGGGAAACCCUGAUCCAGCCAUGCCGCGUGUGUGAAGAAGGUCUUCGGAUUGUAAAGCACUUUAAGUUGGGAGGAAGGGCUUACGGUUAAUACCUGUGAGUUUUGACGUUACCAACAGAAUAAGCACCGGCUAACUCUGU